RNAcentral lists this unclassified non-coding RNA (342 nucleotides) under Hevea brasiliensis (rubber tree). The record is from RNAcentral. Lineage: Eukaryota; Viridiplantae; Streptophyta; Magnoliopsida; Malpighiales; Euphorbiaceae.
CCACCAGCAACAAUAACGGCAAUAUUACCAACAACACAAGCAACAGAAACUAGAGGGGGUUCUUAUAUUGUUUUUAUCCUUUAUUGUUAGAGUUUCUCGGUGUCCUUUCUUUUAGUUCUUCGUUUUUUGGUGUCCAUAUUUUUUUUUUCUUCUUGGGGGAAAGAGGGAUUAAUUAGAACACAAAAUUACAUUUCUUUGUUAUUAUUUCAUUAUGAAUUACUUUGUUUCUUAUUGUCUAGGAAUUAAUACAGGAAAAGAAAGGACACCGAGAAACUCUAACNACUACUACCAUUAUCUUGAGCUUUUCUUCCUUCCAAAAAAAAAUAUGGACACCAAAAAACG